RNAcentral lists this ribosomal RNA (557 nucleotides) under uncultured Shewanella sp. RNAcentral describes it as "bacterial SSU rRNA". It matches the Rfam family "Bacterial small subunit ribosomal RNA", at positions 335 to 885 of the family's 1533-position model. Lineage: Bacteria; Pseudomonadati; Pseudomonadota; Gammaproteobacteria; Alteromonadales; Shewanellaceae. The record is from RNAcentral.
ACUCCUACGGGAGGCAGCAGUGGGGAAUAUUGCACAAUGGGGGAAACCCUGAUGCAGCCAUGCCGCGUGUGUGAAGAAGGCCUUCGGGUUGUAAAGCACUUUCAGUAGGGAGGAAAGGGUGAGUCUUAAUACGGCUCAUCUGUGACGUUACCUACAGAAGAAGGACCGGCUAACUCCGUGCCAGCAGCCGCGGUAAUACGGAGGGUCCGAGCGUUAAUCGGAAUUACUGGGCGUAAAGCGUGCGCAGGCGGUUUGUUAAGCGAGAUGUGAAAGCCCUGGGCUCAACCUAGGAAUAGCAUUUCGAACUGGCGAACUAGAGUCUUGUAGAGGGGGGUAGAAUUCCAGGUGUAGCGGUGAAAUGCGUAGAGAUCUGGAGGAAUACCGGUGGCGAAGGCGACCCCCUGGACAAAGACUGACGCUCAUGCACGAAAGCGUGGGGAGCAAACAGGAUUAGAUACCCUGGUAGUCCACGCCGUAACGAUGUCUACUCGGAGUUUGGUGUCUUGAACACUGGGCUCUCAAGCUAACGCAUUAAGUAGACCGCCUGGGGAGUACGG